AGUUCUGUGGACCAAGUGGUCGAAGGCAGCCGACCUAGAAUCGGUUUAUCGUGGGUUCGAAUCCCACUAGAACUA
Tritrichomonas foetus is the source of this 75-nucleotide transfer RNA. It matches the Rfam family "tRNA". Rfam says of the family: Transfer RNA (tRNA) molecules are approximately 80 nucleotides in length. Their secondary structure includes four short double-helical elements and three loops (D, anti-codon, and T loops). NCBI's taxonomy places the organism in Eukaryota, Parabasalia, Tritrichomonadida, Tritrichomonadidae. The record is from Rfam.